This 433-nucleotide ribosomal RNA is filed under the name uncultured bacterium. Its description in RNAcentral is "partial 16S ribosomal RNA". It matches the Rfam family "Bacterial small subunit ribosomal RNA", at positions 29 to 507 of the family's 1533-position model. The record is from RNAcentral.
AACGAACGCUGGCGGCAUGCCUAACACAUGUAAGUCGAACGAGACCUUCGGGCCUAGUGGCGCACGGGUGCGUAACGCGUGAGAACCUGCCCUUAGGUCCGGCACAACUCCCCGAAAGGGGUGCCAAUACCGGACAAUCUCUUCGGACCAAGGAUGCAUCGCCUUUGGAUGGGCCCGCGCUGGAUUAACUAGUUGGUAGGGUAAAAGCCUACCAACGCGACGAUCCAUAGCUGGUCUGCGAGGAUGCUCAGCCACACUGGGACCGCGACACGGCCCAGACUCCUACGGGAGGCAGCAGUAGGGAAUAUUAGACAUUGCGCGAAAGCCUGAUCCAGCAAUGCCGCGUGAGUGAUGAAGGCCCUAGGGUUGUAAAGCUCUUUUACCCGGGAUGAUAAUGACAGUACCGGGAGAAUAAGCUCCGGCUAACUCCGUG